UACGUAGGGUGCAAGCGUUGUCCGGAAUUAUUGGGCGUAAAGAGCUCGUAGGCGGUUUGUCGCGUCUGCUGUGAAAACCCGAGGCUCAACCUCGGGCCUGCAGUGGGUACGGGCAGACUAGAGUGCGGUAGGGGAGAUUGGAAUUCCUGGUGUAGCGGUGGAAUGCGCAGAUAUCAGGAGGAACACCGAUGGCGAAGGCAGCUCGCUGGGACGGUACUGACGCUGAGGCGCGAAAGCAUGGGGAGCGAACAGG
Molecule: ribosomal RNA, 253 nt
Filed under: uncultured bacterium
Lineage: Bacteria
Description: partial 16S ribosomal RNA
Rfam family: Bacterial small subunit ribosomal RNA
Source: RNAcentral